Molecule: long non-coding RNA, 1288 nt
Filed under: Monodelphis domestica (gray short-tailed opossum)
Lineage: Eukaryota; Metazoa; Chordata; Mammalia; Didelphimorphia; Didelphidae
Description: lncRNA (ENSMODG00000037012.1)
Source: RNAcentral
AUUGAGCAAUGCAAGAUUAUACUAGAAAAAGAUAAUUUUAAGGAUAUAAGUACUGCUUUCUUGAAGAGGAAGGAAGGAAGGAAGGAAGGAAGGAAGGAAGGAAGGAAGGAAGGAAGGAAGGAAGGAAGGAAGGAAGGAAGGAAGGAAGGAAGGAAGGAAGGAAGGAAGGGUAGUCGAGGCAGAGCCUCCUCUUUCCUUUGUUUGUCUUUGCUUCAGACAAAGUUGUGGAUUUGUUUGUCUUUGCUUCAGACAAAGAUGUGGAUUAACCUUUACCCAUCCUGGGACCAAGGAUGGAACAGGAAACAUGAAGGAAGCAGGAUAACAUUUAUGAAAAGCAAAUUGUGAUAAGGAUGUCACAGAACUGGCCGACCCUGUGGAGGAGUCUUGUAAUUGGCGCCUGAACAGGGACCCCCGAACUGGGACUUGCAUUCGUAACCCCGAUUCCUUUGCUGGUUUUAGGAUGACAAAGAAUAACGACUCCCUCUACGAGACUAUAGCUUGGGUCAAGGACAACGAUGGAUCCCCCGCAGAUGGACUAAGCCUAUCCGGCCGCCUGGAGACAAUGAGACUUCAACGCCGACCAAGGGGCAGGAAAAGGCCCCGUGUGCUCCAGAGAAGAAAGAAACAGCUGCUCCUGUUCCUGAUGACUCUGAUGAGCACUCUCACCAUGGCUAAUACAGAGACACAGACUCACUGGGUUUUAUGGGAGAAACCCCCAUGGAUUAAUUUUGUAGAAUAAUAAGAGGAUUUCCCUGAUGUAUCCCUUCAUGCUCGUCAAUUUGGGCCGGGAUGGAACUGGACUGCAAAGAGGGGGGAAACUAGAACACCUGCAUACAAUGUCUUGCAUCCACCUUUUGAAGCCAUUCCUGAACGGGUAUCAUAUCUGAACAUACUAUUUAAUUGGACUGGACUUACCAAAAAACCACCUGUGUGCUUUGGACACUGCCUGUAUUCCCCUUGUCAAUCUGACCGAUCAUUUUUAUGGUGCGCCCAAUGACACAGAUAAAAUAGGACCACACCGGGUAAGUGAAGGGUGGACUUUCACAGCCUGGGGAAAGAUUUCAUAUUAUGGAUGGCAAGGGAAAACACAAAAUACUAGACAGGAAAAUGGGUACCUGACCAACAGAACUUUCAUAGAACAGAAAACCCAAUACUGUCCUUAUAUUCAGGAGUGGGAACUUCCUUUCUCAAGAAAACAGAGCCAUGGUGUCUUUCCCCCAUUCUUAGAAUGUGAUCGUCAUGAUCUUGACAUGAUUCAAUUUCAUAAUCUAACCUUUUUCUCCCAGCA